GAAGAGUCUCAUGGACUCUGAGGUUCCGAAGGGAAGAAAAGGCUCGUAGGUUUAAGAACUUCUAACAAAACACCAGAAGGAUGGAAAAGGUGUUAACAGAAAACUGAACUCCAAGUCUGGACUCAGACGGCCAAGACGCGGUCUGUUCCCUAAGUGGGCUCCCAGCCUGGAGACAAAGGCGCUGGAAUCAUGCUGAACCUGCUCAGGAAACCCAGGCUCCAGGCUGGCCUUGGUUUGGGUGGAGACCAGCCUUCAGGAGCUGCCCAAAAUACUGAGAGCCGUGCUUUGGAAAGACAUAGAUUUCAACAAUACGCCCUCCUCUCACUGACCCUCUCACCCUCUGGCUCAAAGAGAGGCUUUCUGUCACUAAAAAGGCAUGUUCAUUUAUAACAGAUGGGGUGUUUGGACUUUCUGGUAAUGGAUUUAUAGAUUUCA
Long non-coding RNA from Lontra canadensis (Northern American river otter), 435 nucleotides. RefSeq lists it as uncharacterized. The record is from RefSeq and is a predicted model, not a curated record. The transcript has 4 exons. NCBI's taxonomy places the organism in Eukaryota, Metazoa, Chordata, Mammalia, Carnivora, Mustelidae.